CUACUCUUCAGAUCAUUGUUACAAUAAGCUCUUUUGUCUGAAUUAGUUUCUUUAUCUCCACAGUGUAUCAACACAAAGAAGGGAGAGGAAACUUCAACUCAUGAUCCCAUGAUAGAGCAUUUCAACAUUAAUAUAGAUUCAGCUCCAUCCUCCUGACAAGUUCUUGGUGCAGGAAUCAAGGCAAAGAAGUGACAUCUACUUAAUACCCUUGAAAUCUGAAUUCAGCAAUUGCUAAUGUUUCUUUAGAAAAUGAAUGGAUCAUAUGGAUACCUCCUGAAGAAGACUGUAAGCCUCUGUAGAAGAGCAAUAGUGCAAGUUUACCUGCAGAGAGGGGUUGAAGAGGAUAGAGUCACACCAAGUGAUGGACUCACAGUCCUUUGUUCUGCCUAUAAAGAAAGCAUCAAGUCCAGUGUGAGAAGAUUUUACACAGGACAUCUCAGAUUUUACACAGG
This 452-nucleotide long non-coding RNA is filed under the name Anas platyrhynchos platyrhynchos (common mallard). RNAcentral's name for it is "lncRNA (ENSAPLG00000021774.1)". Lineage: Eukaryota; Metazoa; Chordata; Aves; Anseriformes; Anatidae. The record is from RNAcentral.